Molecule: long non-coding RNA, 451 nt
Filed under: Rhagoletis pomonella (apple maggot)
Lineage: Eukaryota; Metazoa; Arthropoda; Insecta; Diptera; Tephritidae
Description: uncharacterized LOC118754378
Source: RNAcentral
UUUCGUUGUUCGUUUUGUUCUUAUUCGCUGACAUUUGUUUUCCAAUUGCGUGAAAUUUGGUCAUUUCCUUAGUGUUUCGCUGACCGACCUGUGCUGGUAUUGUGAUUAAGAGCUAAUACACAUUUUUCGGACGAUUCUGCUGUGCUGCGUUCCUGCUCCGCCUGUAUAUUGCUCCGCCCGUAUUUUAUAGUGUUGCGUUCCUGUUGCGCCUUUGCAUUAGUGUGUGCGUUGUGAUUUAGACACGUUGAAAUUUUUUGUAUGCUUCUGCUGUGCUGCGUUCCUGCUCCACCCGUGUAUUAGAUUGCUGCGUUCCUGUUAACAUACAUAUCGUCGCUUAAAGUACAAAACCGCGUAACUGACAUUUGCUGCUAAAAAUUGGAUUCGCUCACACACGUUUUUGGAUCAAUCCUUAUCCAUUCUUCCUGAAAUAUACUAGCCAAAAAUGCGAUUG